Molecule: ribosomal RNA, 741 nt
Filed under: uncultured bacterium
Lineage: Bacteria
Description: bacterial SSU rRNA
Rfam family: Bacterial small subunit ribosomal RNA
Source: RNAcentral
GAGUAACGCGUAUGCAACCUGCCCUUCACAGGGGGAUAACCGGGAGAAAUUCCGACUAAUACCGCAUACGUCCUCCGGGGGCAUCCCUGGGGGAUGAAAGAGUUAUCGGUGAAGGAUGGGCAUGCGUGAUAUUAGGUAGUUGGCGGGGCAACGGCCCACCAAGCCCACGAUAUCUAGGGGUUCUGAGAGGAAGGUCCCCCACAUUGGUACUGAGACACGGACCAAACUCCUACGGGAGGCAGCAGUGAGGAAUAUUGGUCAAUGGACGAGAGUCUGAACCAGCCAAGUCGCGUGAAGGAAGACGGAUCUAUGGUUUGUAAACUUCUUUAGUGCGGGAACAAAGCGGCGUCGAGACGCCUGAUGAGUGUACCGCAAGAAUAAGCAUCGGCUAACUCCGUGCCAGCAGCCGCGGUAAUACGGAGGAUGCGAGCGUUAUCCGGAUUUAUUGGGUUUAAAGGGAGCGCAGGCUGCGAGGCAAGUCAGCGGUCAAAUGUCGGGGCUCAACCCCGGCCUGCCGUUGAAACUGUCCUGCUAGAGUUCGAGUGAGGUAUGCGGAAUGCGUUGUGUAGCGGUGAAAUGCAUAGAUAUGACGCAGAACUCCGAUUGCGAAGGCAGCAUACCAACUCGCGACUGACGCUGAGGCUCGAAAGCGUGGGUAUCGAACAGGAUUAGAUACCCUGGUAGUCCACGCAGUAAACGAUGAAUACUAACUGUUCGGAGGGCGACCUCUGAGUGGUAAAG